GUUUGACCUCAAAUCAGGUAGGGCUACCCGCU
RNAcentral lists this ribosomal RNA (32 nucleotides) under Cryptococcus neoformans. RNAcentral's name for it is "partial 28S ribosomal RNA". Lineage: Eukaryota; Fungi; Basidiomycota; Tremellomycetes; Tremellales; Cryptococcaceae. The record is from RNAcentral.